UGUGGGAGCGAGCCUGCUCGCGAUAACGGUCUGUCAGUAGACAUUGAUGUGGCUGACCAGACGCCAUCGCGAGCAGGCUCGCUCCCACA
Molecule: unclassified non-coding RNA, 89 nt
Filed under: Pseudomonas thivervalensis
Lineage: Bacteria; Pseudomonadati; Pseudomonadota; Gammaproteobacteria; Pseudomonadales; Pseudomonadaceae
Source: RNAcentral